This is a long non-coding RNA of Rhinichthys klamathensis goyatoka, 396 nucleotides long. RefSeq lists it as uncharacterized. The transcript is spliced from 3 exons. The record is from RefSeq and is a predicted model, not a curated record. NCBI's taxonomy places the organism in Eukaryota, Metazoa, Chordata, Actinopteri, Cypriniformes, Leuciscidae.
GAGGAUGAAUAUGUGAUGGAAAGUCGUCAAGACACUGCAGCUUCAUGGGGGCCGCCAUGUCUAAGACGCGCGCAUGCGCAGUGAAACGAGAUAAACUGACCGCUCCUGGAUAAGCGGAGUCGCCACUGGGCGGGAGAUGUGCGCUGGGAACCAGAGCUCUUCAACACCGCUCCUACAGAGACCUGUGAUUGCCAAGCAGUCCUGAAGAGCUUGAUCAGCUGGUUCAGUUCCCCAGACUGUCCACCAGGGGCGUCCUUCAUCUCGAUGACUGAAACCUGCUCAGGGACUGUGCUGUGCAAACUGGAAAAUGACAUCUGUGAAAGCAUCUAAUCACUGAUAGAGGCACAGAGGUAAUACAGAUACAAAUAUAUAGGCAUCAUUCACUUUCUGACUUUG